Molecule: long non-coding RNA, 234 nt
Filed under: Mytilus galloprovincialis (Mediterranean mussel)
Lineage: Eukaryota; Metazoa; Mollusca; Bivalvia; Mytilida; Mytilidae
Source: RNAcentral
UCUCAAUUUUGUGGGAGAUUUGACUGUUUCAAGACAAAAAUGAUAAAUCGAACAAUGCUUUUUGCUGUUAUAUAUUAUUCAUUUUUCUUUUCUUCUGCUGAAUGUGAACAGCACCAUGAGGAGGAGUAUACUGUUGUGAUGUAUGCUCGCUAAAGCUUGCUUUAUGAGUACUGUAUGUAAAUUACUGCAAAAGGGAAUGCAGAGACAUAGGAAUAUACGAUCUGGGAAUAUCUU